ACGUACAGGAUGCCUGGGGGCAGGGAGAAGGAGUUUGUUAUCUAGGGUGUUACUGGUCUCAGACACGGCCAACAUUUGCUAGGAGUGCCUUGUGUUCACGCCAGUGACCCAGUGGCCUGGAGUGGGAAGCAGCAUAACACCUUCUAAGAGAGCCUCUCCAAGCCUGCAGGACCUGCAGCAGCCAGGACCCCUGCCAUGGCUUUGAGUCAAUCCCAGCGGCACAUGGCUCGCUUUGCCGCCUUGCGUUUCUGAUCUCCUGGGUGUGCUCUGCCGAUGCAGACGGUGCCUCAGCGAUGUGGCCUUUGGGGGAGGCAGAGAGAUGCCCCUGGGCCUGUCUUUGAAAUGGUCACAUGAAACACCCCAAGGUUCAUCCCGGGAGGCUGCACAAGCUGACAAUGGCAGCUCUGUGAGCAGGUGUUACAGGGCUAGCCAGGCUCUGGGCCCCACCCAAAUGCGCCAGGUGUCCAGGAGAGCCUGCCAGACAGCAGGUGGAUGGGAGAGUCGGGGUCUGUGGGGCAGUGCUGUCAGCCAGAGCAGAGCCAGCACCGGCAUGACACUUGCCCAGAACCAGCCGCAGAGGCGCAAAGGUGACAUAAAGCUGCGUACAGCCCAGGCCCUCCUGGAGGUUCAGCACCAUCCUAGGGAGCUGGAAAGCAGGGACUGUACCUCCCACCACCACCAGGCUCCAGUGGGUUGUGAGUCUUUGGGGGAGUGGGGAGCUUUGGGAGUGUGUGAGGAAGUGGGCUGGGGCGCACCACAUGCACAGGGCAGGGUGGAAGCACACAUGGAGCCAGGAGUACAGCGGUGGGGCGGGCAGAUGUGGGCUAUUCCCCAUGGCUGCGGCUGCGGAGUGGGGAACUCCAGUGGGCCCUGGGCCAGGCUAUUUUGCCCCCAGCACAACCCCUCUCUGUGUGAGGAGCACUCAAGGGCCCACCACCCCCAUGGAGCAUCCAGCUCAGCCCGAGCCUGCCCCAGGCCUUGCAUACCCAUUCAGUGAACAUGCUUGGCAAUUAGCAUAGCCCCACCCAUGCAGUGACAGGGGCCCUCCCCUUACACCUGGGUACUCACAAUGCCCAGCCACCUAUGGGCCCGCUGGCCCCUCUCCCUGGCCAGCAGGGCUGAGGCCUGUGAGUGGAAUAAUGGAUAAGGGCUGUUCUCGAAGUGCGAGGGCCAGUUACACAAGGGAACCGAGUGUCCUGCUGCAGCCACAGGGCUGGGCCUGCCUCACAUCCCUCUAUGGGGUGGCCGAGCCGAGCCAAGCAGCUGGGCCACCUGCCCUUGCUGCUCCCGCACAGGGCACAGAUGUCCCAGGCCAACCAGGAUUCUCCGACUGGCCUUUU
RNAcentral lists this long non-coding RNA (1340 nucleotides) under Chrysemys picta bellii (western painted turtle). Its description in RNAcentral is "lncRNA (ENSCPBG00000005932.1)". Lineage: Eukaryota; Metazoa; Chordata; Testudines; Emydidae. The record is from RNAcentral.